Molecule: long non-coding RNA, 741 nt
Organism: Amphimedon queenslandica
Lineage: Eukaryota; Metazoa; Porifera; Demospongiae; Haplosclerida; Niphatidae
Exons: 2
Source: RefSeq, a predicted model, not a curated record
CGCAUGCGCAGAUCCCCUGUAUAAAGGAAUGGACCAACCUGAAAGCUGCUCGAGCUGAGGAGGAUCUUCUAGUGACCGGAUAUUGCGCAAUACAUCAAAGGGAUUGCGCCCCGGGCAAGCCCAUGCAUGCCUCGGGCAAGCCCAUGCAUGCCCCGUGAAAGUAGCCAUUUAAUUAAUUGUGAUCUGCGCAUGCGCAGAUCCCCCUCUAUAAAGGAAUGGGCCAAACUAAAAGCUGCUCGAGCUGAGGAGGUCUGAGUUAAUUGGUAGGUGUGGUUAAUGAUUAUGGCGGCCCAUCCUACAUACUAGUGUGCAAGGAGACUUAUUCUUGUUAACAAAUUGACUAUGGCUGGGACUUAAAAUAUUAAAGGACCUUCUUUCUUGAUAGCUUUGGGUGACGGGCCGUCUUUCACUAUCAUUGGGGACUUGUACUCAAUCCUGGAGGCUUACCUCAUCCAUUACAACUUGAGAUGGACUUUGAUGUACACUAAUGAAGUCUUACUCUUUUUCAAGGUGAUAGAUCAUCUUUUACCAAGAUAGGACAGCUUAUAUUCAUUAUAUCUUUUUAAUUGUACAACAUUACUGUAUAUACUGAGAUAUUUAACUGUUGUUGUUUAAUUACUGUGGUGUGUAAACUGUUUUACCUGUAUUUUAGUGUAGUAUUAAGUUUAUUAUAACAAUAACAAUGACUAUUUAGCUAACUAUUAGGUGUGAUAAUGGCAGUAGUGACGUUAUUACUCUAAA